Molecule: long non-coding RNA, 1406 nt
Organism: Pygocentrus nattereri (red-bellied piranha)
Lineage: Eukaryota; Metazoa; Chordata; Actinopteri; Characiformes; Serrasalmidae
Exons: 2
Source: RefSeq, a predicted model, not a curated record
AAAAGAGAAAGAGGGAGAGAGACAGGUGAAAACUCAAGAGCAGGAUGACUGUGGAAAAGAAAACAUUCAUUCGUGCAUGUCAUCUUCCCUCACAAGAACACCGUGUACUCAAGUUACAGCGACAUUCUUCUUCAUAAAUCUGUGAUCUUUUAUGGGUCCUGCACAAAUGAAUAAUCAUUCAUAUCCUAGUAGUACACUUGCAUUAUUCAACCGCUUAAGGUGUGUAAAACAAUGCUGUACAAAACUGGCAUUUAGUGGAAGCAGAUAGUCAUGCUCUGUACCAGUGAUGUCAUUUAAUGUUGUGCAUGUUUCAUUCAGCCUGAUAUCACUUUGAAAGACUUUAACAGGUGUCUGGUACAAGUCAUUGCAAACCAUUGCAGACCAGAGUGCCAUGCACCAUAGAAAAGUCACACACUGCCACUGAACAUGCCAUUUGCUGCCCUGGCUUGCUGUUUUCUGCUAUGCACCAUGUGUCCAAAAGUAUACAGCCAUGGUAUAUUAACUGGUAUAUUCAACUACUUUAAGUUGCACCCAUUGGAUUCCGAGCACUGUUCAAUUUCUUAGCGUAUCACAGCAUUCCACACAACAUAACCACAUUAUAUUCAGGCCUUAUAGAAACUACAGAGAGCUUAAAAUAUGCACUAAGAAAGGCAGCCAGUCUAAAUGGACAAAUGCUAAUGACAAGUUAGCUACUUUAGCCAGCUAACUAUUCUAACCUCUCAGCAUCUUUAAGCUCAAAAACAGCCAGCCUGUGAAGAGGUAGUAAACUGAUGUCAAGUGUGAUAUGUGAUGGUGAACAGUUUAUUUCACUCAAUUUAUAUGAGGAGAGUGUAAAAAUGAACUUAAUCCUAGCUUGUAUCAAAUCUCCCUGCUGGCAGUUUAUAGCAGCAUGUCCAGUGUGCAGUUGCCUUAACGUCACCAUGCUGAAUGCCAAGCAUGAUCCAGAGCAUUAACAUUUAAAUUUGAUUUAGAUUUGACUUGAUAGACUGCUUCCAAUUUGUUUGAUGGGGAUUUUUUUGAACAGUGCAAUAUUGUGCAAUUUGGUGUUCGACAAGGCUCUGUUUUAGGGCCCUUACUGUUUCCCUUUUUUGAAACCCCCUGAUAUGCAUUCUUGCAAACUCAACUUGUAACAGUGUUUGCCACCUCCUCCCUGCCCCUUCUUCAUUAAACACCAACAAGAUAGUUUAUGGACUGACCUGGCAACAUGUAUACAGCCCUUGUUUGACAUUGUGCAGUGUCUGCUGCAUGAGCUGUGUUCCUUUUGGUGUUUUCCUAUGUUUUGAUCCUUGCUUUUUUACAUGGUUGGUGCUUAUGGAUUUGCCUUGUAUGUACCUGUCUGCCUGUUUCUUGAUGGCUGCUUGUGAUGACUGUGAGUUGCCUGUAAUAAAAAUAACUCUGCACAUGCA